CCUACGGGUGGCAGCAGUGGGGAAUAUUGGGCAAUGGAGGCAACUCUGACCCAGCAAUGCCGCGUGAGUGAUGAAGGUAAUUUUAUUGUAAAGCUCUUUUCUUUGGAACGAAUACCUUACUGUACCAAAGGCAUCAUCCCCGGCUAACUACUUGCCAGCAGCCGCGGUAAUACGUAGGGGGCCAGCGUUGUUCGGAAUGACUGGGCGUCAAGGGUGUGUAGGUGGUUUGAUAAGUUAGAUGUGUAAUACCCAGGGCUUAACUCGGGGGAUGCAUCUAAAACUGUUAGACUGGAGUACUGGAGAGGAUAGUGGAAUUCAUAGUGUAGCGGUGGAAUGCGUAGAUAUUAGGAGGAACACCAGUGGCGAAGGCGACUAUCUGGACAGCAACUGACACUGAGGCACGAAAGCGUGGGGAGCAAACAGGAUUAGAUACCCGAGUAGUC
Molecule: ribosomal RNA, 443 nt
Filed under: uncultured bacterium
Lineage: Bacteria
Description: partial 16S ribosomal RNA
Rfam family: Bacterial small subunit ribosomal RNA
Source: RNAcentral